Molecule: long non-coding RNA, 8606 nt
Filed under: Sus scrofa (pig)
Lineage: Eukaryota; Metazoa; Chordata; Mammalia; Artiodactyla; Suidae
Description: lncRNA (ENSSSCG00025074189.1)
Source: RNAcentral
GGAAUCCUAGCUGGUUUCUUUUCUUCCUCUUAUAGGCGUUGGCAUCUGAAGUGAUAAAUGACUUAGCUACAUAUAAGCUCAACAUAGUAAUACCAAAGACACUCACUGAUAUCCAUAUGUAUGUUUUCUGGGAACACAGCUUCCCCACACCAAGAUAAGACCUAUUCCAAAAUUCUGUCAGUCCUGCGUAAUAAGCAAGGGAAAGUUGGAGAAUUCUGCCCUAACUCUACCCUUGGCUCUGGUCAUAGAUAAUGAAAUACAGAAAUUUGGAGACGUUUUUAUCUGUAAAAAUCCUGUAAAUGGAGCUAAAUACAAACCAAGCCUGUGCUCUUUGUGCUAAGGGAAUGCAGGCUCCUAUAAAGUAUGUGUCUCUUAAGCUGUGCUCGUUAUAGCUCAGCCCACUGUCAUUGGCAUACCCUUUUUUUACGCUUACUCGAUAUUGACCACUAUAAUCAUAGUACUAUUUUAGAAAUGUGAGUUAGCAGAGAAAUAUUAUAAAAGGAGAAUUUCCAAGUUGAGCAUGGAAAUGAGAUUUGAAUCAUUGGGAAGAAGGGAGAAGAAGGGAAUUUAACAAAGGAUCAGAAGUGAGUCGUCAGAUUAUUCCAUAUUUGAGAGUUGAUAGUGACAUCAUAACAAUGGCCAAUACUGAAAGCCAGGACCUGGAUAGACCAGGUGGCUGUCCGGGAGAAAGUAAUGGCUUUGAGGAACAGGUUAUGAGUGAAAAGAACUGAUUGGGAAAAUCAAGUUAGGACCCAGAAUCUACACUAUUAUUAGGUAGAAUCUAAAACCAAGGCAGGGAGUUUCUCUUGUGGCUCAGCGGUAAGAAACCCAGCUAGUAUCCAUGAGGACGCGGGUUUAAUACCUGGCCUCACUCAGUGGGUUACAGAUUCAAUGUUGCCGUGAGCUGUGAGGUAUGUCUCAGAUUUGGCUCCGGGUCCUGCAUUGUUGUGGCUGUGGCAUAGGCCUGAACCUACAGCUCUGAUUCAAACCCUACCUUGGGAACUUCCAUAUGCCAUGGGUGUAGGCCCUAAAAAAAAAAAAUCCAGGCAGGCAGAUUUCCCUCACAGAGAGGUAAGACUGAGUAGAAACAAGAGCAGAGAUAGAAAAAAGAGAUGAGACAAAGAGGGGAGCUAGGGUUUUAAAUCUAUGACCAGGAGAAUGAAUGGCAUAGUUGAUGGACCUUGGAGAGCCAGAGAUGGAAACUUGAUAGAAUGGGAGAGGAUUACAUUAGGGUCUAGUCAUCCCCAGUUUGAGAUGAAGCUGAAAUAUCAGGUGGAAUCUGUGUGGAGGUAGAGAUACAAAUGAAUACAUCACCCCCAUUUUGAAGACCCCCAGUAAACCAUACUCAGGACUCACUGCACUGGAAAUUGUUCCCACAGUACAGUUCAAUUAAAAUGGGAAAUUAAUCAAAAGACAUCUCCUGUCACAACAAGUCUUGUCCUCAGGGUUUCCAGUGGGGAAGAAGCUGCUAACUGGAGGGCCUUCUGAGGAAUUUUUCUUAGACUGAGUGUAGAUUUUUCGUUUGCUUUCCUCUGGGUCAGAACAUAAAUUCUGCUCCUCUCACAAAUCUCUCUGUAUUCAGUUAUAUUUUACCCAACCUUAGAGUAUGGUUUUGUUCCUAUUUUCUUUCUAAACAGAGCAAACUCUUCACUGUCUGUGGUGACAGAGAGAGAGAAAAUGGUACAGAGGCGGGAACAUUUUAGACAACUCUAGGGAUAAUUUCUGUUUAACUUGACAUAGCACUUUGUUUUAGCUAAUAAACUUUAAAAUUAUCAUUAUGCUUAUUAGUAUUAAAAUUGGUUCACAUUCUCAGAACACACACCAUUGACUGGCUAGUAAAAGUGAGAUGAGAAAGGAGUGUCCACCAUUCCAGCAUCUAUGAAAACCUGAGUGACACCUAACAGCUGAGUGUGGUAGAAAAACCUUACGUGAGUCUGAACUACAGCAGUGAAUAAUUAUUAUUGCAAUAUUCAUUAACUGCUUUCUAAGUUUUGGAUACUCUGACACAUGGCUGUAUAGUCUGAAUAAAUGUGAUUGUUUUUUCUUUUGUAGAGCCACGCCUGUGGCAUAUGGAAGUUCCCAGGCUAGGUGUCAAUUCAGAGCUGCAUCUGCCGGCCUACACCACAGCCGCAGCAGUGUGGGAUUGAGUCGUGUCUGUGACCUACACCACAGCAACACCAGAUCCUUAACUCACUGAGUGAGGCCAGGGAUUGAACCCACAUCCUCAUGGAUACUAGUCGGGUUCUCAACAUGCUGAGCCACCACAGGAACUCCCCAAAUGUGAAAUUUUUAAUGACCAAGAUAACUGACAGUUCAAAAACUUGAUAAGGUGAUUUUGUUUCUAGUUAACUAUUUCUUUUAAAUAAAGAAUGUAGUUAUUUCUUUUAAAUAAAGAAUGGUUGUUAUGUGGCCAUUUAGAAGAGCCAAGUUCUUUGCCAUAAGUUUCACCAAUUGGUGGCCCACAUUUUAAAGACUUGCUAUAUAUGGUGUAUUAGAAAUGUCCUGAUGUGGAAAGUUUUAAUCAAUCAAAUCAGGCUUGAUUUAGUGGGAUUUUGUGGACAAAUCUUUGUCCUCAGCUGUAUAAUAAUUACAAGCUGUUUUACCAGUGGAUAAGGAAAGGAUUACUCUCCUCUUUGAAAAUGGUAACUUUAUAAUUACAUGUAUUUACUUGCCUUAUCAGAAUAGAGUUUACCAGCUGAGACACAGGAUUAUUUUUAUUUAAAAGACUCCUGGCUAAAUUGAACAAGCACACAUUUGAGGAGAGUUUAGCUUUUGUAGACAAUUGUUCCUGGCAUGAAUAAAGAAUAAAUAAUCUGAAAUGGAUUUUGUUUUUUCCUUCCUUUCUGAAAUGUAUAUAUACUUGGCACAAAAGUUACCUAGAUGGUUAAUUCAGCCCAACCCAUGAUACUAUUUAGAAAUGUACAGAUAUUUAUCAACAACUUGGUGUAUUCAGUGUGCCAACGUGCUUUAGCCAAAGCUUUGGAUUUCAUGUGGGAAGUUUAAUGGUUGUGAAUCAGAAUCUGCCAAAACUUUAAGACAACUUUUCUGUUUAGAAUUCACUUUUCCUUCUUGCUGGCCCACUAAAAUCUGCAACUCACUUCUGUGUCAUAUAUGCCUGAAGAGGACUAUGCUUUUCUCUCAAGUGUUUGUUACAAUUCCAAAUUAAGUUCAUAAGGAAAUAAUAAUAAAUCUAGAUAAUCUGGAUUCCAUUUCUCUUAGCCAGAUCUUCUUGAAUUGAUUUUUCCACCCAAUAUCAAAAUUUUGUUUCAGCUACAUAAACAUUUUGCUUCUCUUUAGCCAGAUGUCUUUAUAAACAAGAGUUCCUUCCUUAUCCUUCCCAAUCUCUCUAAUGUUCCCUAAACUCUUUCUAAAAUUGUUGAGAACAUAAACAUCUCUGAGUCAGAAACUUUGUCUUCUGUUUUUUUUAAUUUCCUAAUAAGGCACCAGCACCACUUCUUCGUGAACACUUCCUCAUCCUUGCUUCCUAAAAUACUAACAGAUUGGAGCCAGAGAAAGGCAAAUCAAGUGUCCUUCUUACCAUGAACACAGGGAAAUUGCUGUAUGAUGCUUGGUCUGCUUAUUGAGGAAAGAAACCCCAAGCAUUCAGGCAUUAAGGGACAGCCACAGAGCUUUCAGCUGUAUCCGUCCACUUGGCAGCCAUCCAUUCUGCAAGUCUUCAAUCAUGCUAGGGUGUGAGGCCCAGAGACAGAGCCUUGAUUAUUCCUUUGACUCGCAUCAAAAAGAACCUUGGCAGGUUGACUGUGGCUGACUAGCCUGGAAAAGUUCUCAUUCAGAAUAUUUGAGCCCUAGGCUUGCUGCUCCUACUCUUGAGUCCACAGGGACUAAAGGAUGGCAGGUUCCUGGAUGGAGUGAGCGCAGAUGCCCAGUGGGGCCGGUGGCUGGCUCUGUGUCUGAUGACUCCCCUGACCUCUGUGCCUCUGUAUAUUUCCCGACCAUUCUCCGUACCAAGUUUUUAUCUUCUUUCCCUUCCUGAGUCCCUGCUCCCUUGCAAGUUGAGAGGGACCUGGCCCCCACAUAUACCCCAGCCUGUCCAAGCACAUCUUCCCCUCUCUCCACCCUUCAGUUCUGAUGUUACUGUCAUUGGGAGUGUGGCUCCUGGAGCAGGGCUCUGAUGUUCUCUGUAAGGGCAUGUCCAUUUUCCUCUCUCAUCUUCACUUGUCUUCUGUUCCCACUCUCAUGGUGCCCAUUUUCUGCACACCCGGCUCCUCAUCUCACUUUCUGCCUCACCAUUGUCCACUCCCCUGUCUUCACCUCCUCUCCUACACUGUCCCACAUGGGUGCUUCUUUACUGGGACUGAUUCCAAUUCACACUGGCAUCUAUUGCCUCACCUCCUUUUAGUCACUAGCAUCUUCUCCCUAGUGUUUAAUUCAUCAUCUCCAGGUUAAACCAGAUGAGACAUUGGAGACAAUCCUGUUCUGUCAUCAAGGCUUAAACCCUCUCAUUGUCUCAAUCGAUAAACAUUUCUGAAUGCUGAAGCUUCACCACACUUAAACAUCAGACCAAGUCUCACAGGACCUCCCAAAAGUAUUAGGCUAGCUAAAGCUUUUAUACCUAGUAUUUAAGUUUCCAGGCAAGGAAUCUACUAUAUUUGGCAAUUUGUGUUCUCAUUUUACCCCUAGAUAGUUCAUGUGACUAACUGAAAUUUUUAUGUGGGACAUCUGCUGCCUUGCACAAGAAAAAGACUAAUGCACCUUAAAUAAAGUAGUCACUGUACUUGCAGGACUAGGACUCCUUUAAGAAGGUGGUCUCUGUAUUAUGCACUGUUCUGUUUUGUUCUUAUUGAUGCAAUGACUUGAGACUCUCCAACACCUUAAUAAAAAAGUUUAGUGUAAGGUGUUAAUAGAAUUGCACCUACUCUGACUUUCUCCCUUUGUUCUUCCUUGGCCCCUCCACCCUCUCAGCCUCUCACUAAAGCCGGACUGCUUCCUCUGUGUUCCCUGGACGUCCAGACCCCACAGGCUGCCAAUCUUUUAAGCGUAGGCAAUAACCAUCACUACUGUUUCUACAGUCCAUCCAAUGAGGCCAUGCCAUUGGGGUCUUUGAGGGGACCCAGCAGAUGCUUUCCCAUCUGGGUUCUGAUCCUGAUAAAAAAUAAGAAAAAAAGUCUAAGGAAACCAAAAUAUUACCAUUACUGAUUGAGAAGUUGAAGGAGGCACCUCAUUGUGUACCAUCAAUGAGCUUUCUUACUCUGAACCCCAGAAUUAGACAGCUCUUCACAUCCAGUCAUGGGCACUGCUGAACUUGGGCAGGCCUCCCAUCGCCCUGUGCAGAAACCCUGAGGGAUAGGGGUGACCUGAGAUUACUGUGAGCAGCAGAUCAAGGGAAGCGCCAAGGAAGGGGCUGGACUACACAGCCAGAUAAGCCUCUCCACUGCCACUGGGGAGCCAGCGAUAGUCAAAGAAGAGACAAGGAAUGUUAUGCCAAUUACUGCCUCUCUGCAUGGAAGGAAAGGCCCCUCUCAAGUACAUCAGAGAUCUUUAGUCUGCCUUAGGAGUGAGCUGCCUGCUGGUCAGGUGCCUGCCCCAGCCUAGGCAGUGGACAUCUCUUCCAAAACAGGAGUCUGCAGUUGUUCUCCUGAGCAGAAGCUGGGGGUGGGGCUCUUCAGUAAGGAGCAUGGCAGGUCUGAGGACUGCUUAUGACCUCACAGUACCACCAUCUUUUCCCUGAGUGUUUUCUGAGUGACCAGUCAGAUAAUUUCCUCAUGCCUCUGUUUCCUUAUGGAACACUUGAAAAUCAUACUUGAUCAGCCAUCAAGGUGAGGGAAGAAACACACUUCUAUCAAGGAAAAGAUUCAGGCAGAUUCUGUCUGUGCUAUUGUACAGACAACAGUUGUGUCCUUUAAGAAGCCCCUCCCAGAGAGCACCACCUUGAGGCUGUUUGGGAGCUGAAAGACUGAUUUCCUCAUGGAAUGUUUUAGAACCCGGAUGACAGAUAGCUGUCAUCUCAUGCCACUUAUUAUAUUGGCAGUGGCUGCCUUCAGUGCUGUGCCAAGAAAAAUUCUGAGACUGUAUCCAGCUAGUGGAAAAUAAUUCUGUGAUUAUUAUUGCCCACCACAGAUGUGGGUAAAGAGACUGAGGGCCCUUAAGCCUAGUUUUGACUAUUGUUGGUCCACAGCACAGGUGGAAUUUUCUUCCCUAGACAUACAGCCAUCCCUGGCAUCAGAAGUAGGAAAUGGGGACUUCAAGCUGGAGAAGCACCAAGUGAGACUGGCUUCUUGUCCUCUGCAGCCACAGGGCCAAAACCUUGAUUGUAUAGCACACAGGUCUGCAGACUUUUUCUAUAAAUGGCCAGAUUCUAGUCCUUGUGAGCCAUGUAUUCCCUGUUGUGAUAACUCAGCUCUGCCAUCAUGGUGCCAAAAGGAAUUGGGAAUAGUUGUGCCAUAGUAAAUGUUCUUUUACAGAAGCAGACAGUGGGGUGUGGUUUGUAGCCCAGUGUAGAGAAGAGGCCAACAUUAAGUCCUAGGAUUCUGGAAAACUCCCCCAGUACCUAUGGCUAAAUCCCCCUCCAUCCUCAGCUCUGAAGGAUUUCAUUAAGCACCAACAAAGCAUUUGACAGGCAAUAUUAAGCUCUCAGAAUCAAACUUCCUCUCAGGAAGGUAUUCGCAAUGAUGUCUACUCCGUCAUUCUCACAGGUACAUUCAAAGCAUGCACAGGUACAUUCAAAGCAUGGCAGGUCACUUCUCAUGCAGCAGUGGAGUUCCAAAGUCAGCCUGGCAGACAGAAGCCUCACACCACCACAAUGACCUUUGAAAAUUCCUGCAGUCACCCAAAAAUUAAAACGUACAUGGAUUAAAUGUCAUGAAGUAGACUCGGGGAAGGCAUAAAAGGGAAGUCCACAUGCAAAUGUUUGGGCAUAUGAACAUUCCUUCUUUAAAAGAACACUCCUAUUCCUUCAAGUAUGGACUGUAACAUGCUCCUGCUUGCCUGAGGGUUCCUUCUGUUCUAGUUCAACCUACCUUUGGUUUACAUGAGCAUCUUUGUUGCUUUUUUGAGAGAGUUCAUAUAGUUGAAAACAAGAGCAUAAGUACCUAUCCUAAGCCAUCAACAGUUACAUGUUAAACUUGAUCCUAAACCUGUUUGCAUAAUCAUCAGCACAUGUACACCAUUCAUUGAAAUGUUAUAAAGAAUCUAGCCAUCAGCUUCUUGCCACUGCCGGCUGGCAUCGUAGGAAUGGCUGUCAUGCUCACAACCCUCAGCAUUCAGUGUUUUCUUACCCUGGAAGAUGAAAUCAUUGAAGCAAGUGGGUGCGCAUGAUAGAGCCCCAUGGGCUGGGAUACAAGGUAUUUCAGUAAGAUACUCAAUCCAGCUGCAGUAAUUUUCCUAGGUUGCUCAGCUAGUUGGUAAGGGAGCCAUGUUUAAAUCUCAGCUUCCUCAUCUGUGAAAGGGGGAGUAAAAAGGUGGCAACCUCACAGGGUUAUGGUAAGGAGCAGAUGAGUUUUAAAAUAACCUAGAAUGAUCACUGGCUCAAUAAAUGUUAGCUAUCAUUUUUAUCUGAGCUCCUGUCCACAACUUGGCUGUCUGCAAGGUGUGGGAUGUAAGAUGCCCAUCAUCUCGAAGGAAUGAGGGGCGCGGCUGCACAUGAGCUUUACCUCCGAUGUCCAAUGAAGUAUUCCUUUUCUCACCUUACCGUAACAAGGCACAAGAGAUGUGAUAAGCUUUCUAAAUUUACAUGUCACCAAGAAAAUGGACUUUCUAUAUCUGAUUGUCACUUGAAAGAAUAAUGAAGGAGGAGCAGGGGCCCAGGGAUAGUGGACGUUUGAGAAGAAAUCUUCUGCUUUAUUGAAUUUGGUUUGUUUCCACUGACCUCUCCUGUCCCUGGGGAGGAAAAGAAAAACCCAGUCACUCAAAUCAGGGGUCGAAAUAUUUUUAGGAUUUAUGAGCCAUGCUGUCUGUGUCACAGCUCCUCAGCUCUGCCACUAUAGCACAAAAGCAGCCAUCGACAAUCUGUAAAUGAAUCACUUUGGCUGUGUUCCACUGAAACUUUAUUUAUGGACACUGAAAUUUGAAUUGCAUAUAAUUUUCAUGUAUCACAAAAUAUUAUUCUGAUUUUUCCCCAACUGUUUAAAAAUGUAAAAACUAUUCUUAGCUCACAGGUUGUACAAAGGAGGCAGUAGGCUGGAUUUGUCCCACGGGCUGUGGUUUGCCUGUCCUGACUUAGAGCACCAGACUGAGAGUCAGACCUGUCACUGUUCACUGGUUAUUUGACCAAGUUAUCUCCCAUCCCUGGACUUCAACUUUUUCUAGGGAAAACAAGUGACUUAUCCUAAAGGAUCCCUGAUUCCUUCUAGCACUAAAAGGCCAAGGCUGCAUGGUUUUUAUGUAGCUAUGCACUCAGACAAACCAGGUUCUAGUCCUGGCUCAGCCUCUGAUUUGCUGGGGAAUGUUGGACAAAUUUUCUAUGCAUCCCAAUGCCUCAGUGGUCUCAUCUGUACUGUGGGAAUUAAAAAGCAAUGUUGCUAUGAAGAUUAAAGGGUUGCUAUGAAGAUUAAAGUCAUAGGAUAUUUGUGGACACCUUAACUCAUGUAUCCAACAAAUACUUAUUGUACCUAGUAUAUACUGAAUAGAAUAAGUGCUAACUAUUGUAU